UUACCAGGCCUUGACAUGCAGAGAACUUUCCAGAGAUGGAUUGGUGCCUUCGGGAACUCUGACACAGGUGCUGCAUGGCUGUCGUCAGCUCGUGUCGUGAGAUGUUGGGUUAAGUCCCGUAACGAGCGCAACCCUUGUCCUUAGUUACCAGCACGUUAUGGUGGGCACUCUAAGGAGACUGCCGGUGGACAAACCGGAGGAAGGUGGGGAGUGACGUCAAGUCAUCAUGGCCCUUACGGCCUGGGCUACACACGUGCUACAAUGGUCGGUACAAAGGGUUGCCAAGCCGCGAGGUGGAGCUAAUCCCAUAAAACCGAUCGUAGUCCGGAUCGCAGUCUGCAGCUCGACUGCGUGAAGUCGGAAUCGCUAGUAAUCGUGAAUCAGAAUGUCACGGUGAAUACGUUCCCGGGCCUU
Molecule: ribosomal RNA, 414 nt
Filed under: uncultured Pseudomonas sp.
Lineage: Bacteria; Pseudomonadati; Pseudomonadota; Gammaproteobacteria; Pseudomonadales; Pseudomonadaceae
Description: bacterial SSU rRNA
Rfam family: Bacterial small subunit ribosomal RNA
Source: RNAcentral